MicroRNA precursor from Bos taurus (domestic cattle), 59 nucleotides. Lineage: Eukaryota; Metazoa; Chordata; Mammalia; Artiodactyla; Bovidae. The record is from Ensembl.
GAGAGCCCAUGAGACUCAAACAGGCCAUCCCUUCCUGUGGGGUCUCCAUGGGCCUCCCC